This 990-nucleotide long non-coding RNA is filed under the name Fukomys damarensis (Damara mole-rat). Its description in RNAcentral is "lncRNA (ENSFDAG00000028723.1)". Lineage: Eukaryota; Metazoa; Chordata; Mammalia; Rodentia; Bathyergidae. The record is from RNAcentral.
CUCGAGAUUUAUGACACCAGGUCAUGGAGCACAGGACUCAUUGUCUCUGGUGGAGACAAGCAGCUCUGAAGAUAUCAGGCUGGUGUUUCCCUCACGAGGAGGCAGCUGGCCUGUGGGAGCUGACGAGAGUCCAGCGUGCAGAGCUGCAGGAAGGAAUGCGAAGACAGCAGGCAACAGCCAGCUCCAGCUCUUCCCAAGGAACAGCCACACCGCCUCCUGCACUCCCAUCAGCCUACAGAUGCCUGCUCCCUCGAGUCCAAGUGAGUCUAAGGUCCAUCACCGCCCAACGUGGUCCCCUGGGGAAAGAGCUGUAACACUUAACCCGGAGGAUUCACACUCAAGUCCUGUGCAGUCCACAGCACCCCUAUUCAGGGAAAACUUGAACUAUGGAGCACGCACCCUUUUUUCUUUUUUAAUUUCAUUUGAGACAAAUGCUCAUUAAAAUUGUCCAGGUUGGUCUCGAACUCGUAAUCUUCCUCCUUCUGUGUUGGGAUUACAAGUGAUAUUUCCAAUACAUACAUUAAGUAAAACUGUAGCUUCACUGAUCCAAGUGGAAGUCAGAGAAGCCCCUUCCCCUCUGAGGAUGUCCUGUUGGCUACACUGAUUCAGAACUAUUGGCAGGACUGUAAGAGCCCUGAAUGUCAACUUAGGUCUCUCAUAUUCCAGUCUGAGUGUUCUCACUUAGACUGUGGCUUUCACUCAAGCUACAAAUAAUUUAAAGAGCAAAAUGAAAAGAGAUGACUUUUUGGAGACGGGAAUGGGAUCUGGGGAAUGAGAGAGAGGGGUGGGUGAGGUAAAGGAAGGUAAAAAUGAUCAAGAUGUGAGAUAUAUAUUUCUCCCCCAAAACAAAUAUAAUCACAGUUGGUACCUUGGUUCCCAAACUUAAUUCUUUCCACAAUACUGGCCAUAAACCAAAUGAGAGAAGAACAGAAUCAAAUUUCCCCAUAAGGUCAAUCGUGAACCUAACCGCUGAAUUUGAUUCAGUUCUCG